RNAcentral lists this ribosomal RNA (355 nucleotides) under uncultured bacterium. Its description in RNAcentral is "partial 16S ribosomal RNA". It matches the Rfam family "Bacterial small subunit ribosomal RNA", at positions 527 to 881 of the family's 1533-position model. The record is from RNAcentral.
GAAGGGGGCUAGCGUUGCUCGGAAUUACUGGGCGUAAAGGGCGCGUAGGCGGACAUUUAAGUCAGGGGUGAAAUCCCAGAGCUCAACUCUGGAACUGCCUUUGAUACUGGGUGUCUUGAGUGUGAGAGAGGUAUGUGGAACUCCGAGUGUAGAGGUGAAAUUCGUAGAUAUUCGGAAGAACACCAGUGGCGAAGGCGACAUACUGGCUCAUUACUGACGCUGAGGCGCGAAAGCGUGGGGAGCAAACAGGAUUAGAUACCCUGGUAGUCCACGCCGUANANUAUUNCUACUAGGNGNNGGGCAGCAAAGCUGCUCNNNNCCCCNCCNCACGCAAUAAGUAGUCCACCUGGGGAGU